AGGCCCUUUUUACCUAUGUCUCACAUCUCCCUAUUUUUAUGAAUUUACUUAUGUAAAUAAGCAGAAAGGGGAUUAGUGUAUAAAACCUUUCAAGCACAGCUAGUUUUGGACUGCUUUGAGCAAAUUAAACAUAUUCUACCAAACCCAACCUGGUUACACUUUAACUCUUGGUUAUCAACACCUAGUAAAUAUUUACCCAAAUGACAGUACAAGGUUUCUGCUGAAAAGGCAAAUGAAAGAAAUCAAUAGCAGCAAAAUAAGGAAAGGUUUAUUUUGACACAGUAUUCGGCCUUUUCAUAACAGACGAGUUGUAUUAAAAAUGAAACAGUUGAACAUUAGCUAACAUCUUCAAAGCCUUUUGUGUAUACCUUUUUUCCUGAUCAACUGCCUCCUCGAUGACUCCGAUGCACUCCCCAUCAUACACACCUCUUUGCUUCUUAGCUAUCCAUAUGAAGGGGUUGUUGCCAUUACACAAUUGAUCGUACAGUGGCAAGAAAUAUGCACCCAAAGAUUAGUCUUAGGGCUGAACUGCGUUGCAUUUAUGGUCUUGAUUGGAUAAGGUCACUACACUGUACACAAAUGCACAUUUAUGAAGCCACAUCAGUAUUUUUUUUUGCCUGCAAUGUCAUUGUUCCAUAUGGCAAACAUCCAGCUGCAGAGAUCAGACUUUGGGAGAACUGGAAGAUUUUGAUCAGGGAAGAACCCAGUUAAACCAGGGAUCCAAGAGAGGACUGAGGAUGCA
Molecule: long non-coding RNA, 742 nt
Organism: Gavialis gangeticus (Gharial)
Lineage: Eukaryota; Metazoa; Chordata; Crocodylia; Gavialidae
Exons: 2
Source: RefSeq, a predicted model, not a curated record